Cinara cedri is the source of this 332-nucleotide non-coding RNA. Lineage: Eukaryota; Metazoa; Arthropoda; Insecta; Hemiptera; Aphididae. The record is from the annotation of a GenBank genome assembly.
UGGGCGGCGGUAGGGGGUAGUACUGACGAACGGACGGACGCGUGGUUUGCCGCGGAUUGGAGGCGGUGGUCUUAAGCCUUCACCCGCGGGCACAGUGUAUGAAAUCUAACGUUUGGUUUAUGACGUCACACGGUAGUGGUGGACGACAAAGGCGCGUCCUUCCUACCCCCUAAAAACCAUACCUCACCGUUGCCGUCGAUGUCGUUGAAAAACAACCACCGCCACCACCUUAGUAUAUUGUAGCGCGUUACAUUACCCGUAUACGGUCAUAAUAUCGACACGUGGUUGUUCGUCUCGACUGCGCCGUGGUAUCGGUAUAUCACGCUGGUUAG